This 448-nucleotide ribosomal RNA is filed under the name uncultured bacterium. RNAcentral's name for it is "bacterial SSU rRNA". It matches the Rfam family "Bacterial small subunit ribosomal RNA", at positions 355 to 796 of the family's 1533-position model. The record is from RNAcentral.
UCGAGAAUUUUUCUCAAUGGGGGAAACCCUGAAGGAGCGACGCCGCGUGGAGGAUGAAGGCUUUCGGGUUGUAAACUCCUGUCAUUUGGGAACAAGUUGUGCGUAUUAACUGUACGGGCAUUGAUAGUACCAGAAGAGGAAGAGACGGCUAACUCUGUGCCAGCAGCCGCGGUAAUACAGAGGUCUCGAGCGUUGUUCGGAUUCAUUGGGCGUAAAGGGUGCGUAGGUGGCGCUGUAAGUCGGGUGUGAAAUCCUGAGGCUUAACCUCGGAACUGCAUUCGAUACUGCGGUGCUUGAGGACUGGAGAGGAGACUGGAAUUCAUGGUGUAGCAGUGAAAUGCGUAGAGAUCAUGAGGAAGACCAGUGGCGAAGGCGGGUCUCUGGACAGUUCCUGACACUGAGGCACGAAGGCCAGGGGAGCAAACGGGAUUAGAUACCCCCGUAGUCC